This 568-nucleotide ribosomal RNA is filed under the name Pseudostomatella decolorata. RNAcentral describes it as "partial 16S rRNA". It matches the Rfam family "Bacterial large subunit ribosomal RNA", at positions 1817 to 2597 of the family's 2925-position model. Lineage: Eukaryota; Metazoa; Mollusca; Gastropoda; Trochida; Trochidae. The record is from RNAcentral.
GUCUCUUUGUAGUAUAAGAUGUAAAGAGUCAGACCUGCCCGGUGACUAAGUGUUAAACGGCCGCGGUACCCUAACCGUGCAAAGGUAGCAUAAUCAUUUGCCUUUUAAUUGGAGGCUGGUAUGAAUGGUUUGACGAGAGCUAAACUGUCUCUUUUGGAAUAAGUAGAAUUUAACUUUUAGGUGAAGAGGCCUAAAUUUGUUUGAGGGACAAGAAGACCCUGUUGAGCUUUAGUAAAUUUGUGAGGUUAAAUAAGUUUGUUUGAGUUACUUAAGAUUGUGUAGUUCUAUAAUUGUUUUUCAUAAAAAAUCUUUAGUUGGGGCGACUGAGGAACAAAAAAAGCUUCCUUUAAUAACAAUUAGGAAAUAAUUUGAUAGUUAUUUUGUUAUUUUAGUCGGAAUAGUUUGAUCCAAAAAUUUUGAUCAGGGGAAAAAGUUACCACAGGGAUAACAGCGUAAUCUUUCUGGAGAGAUCUUAUCGAAAGAAGGGUUUGCGACCUCGAUGUUGGACUAAGAUACCCGGAGGGUGUAGAAGUUCUCUAUGGUUGGUCUGUUCGACCAUUAAAAUCUU